CAAUAGCGUAUAUUAACGUUGUUGCAGUUAAAAAGUUCGUAGUUGGAUUUCUGGAGGGAGCGUCGGCCCGUAUUUACGAGUGCGUGACGUCUCUGUCCAUCCUUGCGGGAAGGCACGGCAUUGAUUUGUUGUGUCGGAUCGCAUCAUUUACUGUGAAAAAAUUAGAGUGUUCAAAGCAGGCUUUCGCUUGAAUACAUUAGCAUGGAAUAAUAAGAUAGGACUUUGGUGCUAUUUUGUUGGUUGAGCCUAAAGUAAUGAUUAAUAGGGAUAGUUGGGGGCACCUGUAUUGCGUUGUCAGAGGUGAAAUUCUUGGAUUUACGCAAGACAAACAGCUGCGAAAGCGUCUGCCAAGGAUGUUUUCAUUAA
RNAcentral lists this ribosomal RNA (366 nucleotides) under uncultured eukaryote. Its description in RNAcentral is "partial 18S ribosomal RNA". It matches the Rfam family "Eukaryotic small subunit ribosomal RNA", at positions 592 to 976 of the family's 1831-position model. The record is from RNAcentral.